This is a long non-coding RNA of Myiozetetes cayanensis, 293 nucleotides long. RefSeq lists it as uncharacterized. The record is from RefSeq and is a predicted model, not a curated record. NCBI's taxonomy places the organism in Eukaryota, Metazoa, Chordata, Aves, Passeriformes, Tyrannidae. The transcript has 3 exons.
UGAGGAUAUAGGAUGGCAGGUGAGGAUAUAGGAUGGCAGGUGAGUGUAUAGGAUGGCAGGUGAGUGUAUAGGAUGGCAGGUGAGGAUAUAGGAUGGCAGGUGAGGAUAUAGGAUGGCAGGUGAGGAUAUAGGAUGGCAGGUGAGUGUAUAGGAUGGCAGGUGAGUGUAUAGGAUGGCAGGUGAGGAUAUAGGAUGGCAGGUGAGGAUAUAGGAUGGCAGGUGAGGAUAUAGGAUGGCAGGUGAGGAUAUAGGAUGGCAGGUGAGUGUAUAGGAUGGCAGGUGAGGAUAUAGGA